This 1090-nucleotide small RNA is filed under the name Pan troglodytes (chimpanzee). Its description in RNAcentral is "retained intron". Lineage: Eukaryota; Metazoa; Chordata; Mammalia; Primates; Hominidae. The record is from RNAcentral.
AAGCUCAUUCUUCUUCUUCCUCCCAGCAGCUCUGCCUGGAAGUCCCCCAAUCCCUGUGCUCCUGCCCCCAGAUCGUGGGCUUGGGGGACAGCAAGAAAGCUGCAAAGGACUCAGCUGGGGCGGCUCCACAAGGACCCCACAGGCUUGAGGCGUUGCCAGGAUUCUAUCCCAGGCGGUUUUCUGGGUCCCCCAGAGCCCUCUCAAGCACGGGGAGGCAUUUCAGGAAUCUGCAGCCUGGAGGCCACAGCCAUGGCAGGCCCCCGAUACCCAGUUUCAGUGCAAGGGGCAGCCCUGGUGCAGAUCAAGAGGCUCCAAACGUUUGCCUUCUCCGUGCGCUGGUCAGACGGCAGCGACACCUUCGUGCGCAGGAGUUGGGACGAAUUCAGGCAGCUCAAGGUGAGUGACCCUGGGCCACCCUGAUGCCGCGGUGGCGGCUUCCCCACGCGGCUGCCUCCCACUGGACUGCCUCCCAUCAGUGACUCCCACUGGAGGCCCUUCGUCCCUGCUGAAGCUCCCAGCCCCUGCCAUCCGGGUGAGGGACCCCGCCCUCUCAAGGGUGCACAGUGGGUUCUGGAAGACCAAUGCCCUGGUUCCCACCCUCAGAAGACCCUCAAGGAGACCUUCCCGGUGGAGGCGGGCCUGCUGCGGAGAUCUGACCGCGUUCUCCCAAAGCUUCUCGGUCAGGCCAGCCUGGGUACGGGAGCUGGGAAGGCGGUGGCUUGCCUGGGGGCGCCAGGGACCAGUGAAGCCCAAAGCGGCGUAUCACAGUACGUUUUUGUGGUGCCUUAAGAUGCACCACUGUUGGGACGCGUGGGGCGCACGAACCGCGGCCUGGCGCGCCUGCAGCUGCUGGAAACCUAUUCUCGGAGGCUGCUGGCGACUGCAGAGCGCGUGGCACGGAGCCCGACGAUCACUGGCUUCUUCGCACCGCAACCCCUGGACCUGGAGCCCGCGCUGCCACCCGGCAGCCGGGUGAUCCUGCCCACCCCAGAGGAGCCGCCUCUUUCUCGCGCUGCGGGCCGCCUCUCCAUCCACAGUCUGGAGGCUCAGAGCCUGCGCUGCCUGCAGCCCUUCUGUAUCCAGGACACGC